GUGGGGAAUAUUGGGCAAUGGGGGCAACCCUGACCCAGCGACGCCGCGUGAGGGAAGAAGGCCUUAGGGUCGUAAACCUCUGUUGUGUGGAAAGAAGGAAGUGACGGUACCACACGAGGAAGUCCCGGCUAACUACGUGCCAGCAGCCGCGGUAAUACGUAGGGGACGAGCGUUGUCCGGAAUUACUGGGCGUAAAGGGCGCGUAGGCGGUCAUUUAAGUCAGCUGUGAAAUGGUCCGGCUCAACCGGAUCAUGCGGUUGAAACUGGAUGACUGGAGUGCUGGAGAGGCAAGUGGAAUUCCCAGUGUAGCGGUGAAAUGCGUAGAUAUUGGGAAGAACACCGGUGGCGAAGGCGACUUGCUGGCCAGCAACUGACGCUGAGGCGCGAAAGCCAGGGGAGCAAACGGGAUUAGAAACCCUAGUAGUCC
Molecule: ribosomal RNA, 427 nt
Filed under: uncultured bacterium
Lineage: Bacteria
Description: partial 16S ribosomal RNA
Rfam family: Bacterial small subunit ribosomal RNA
Source: RNAcentral